RNAcentral lists this ribosomal RNA (504 nucleotides) under uncultured Actinomycetes bacterium. RNAcentral describes it as "bacterial SSU rRNA". It matches the Rfam family "Bacterial small subunit ribosomal RNA", at positions 1 to 527 of the family's 1533-position model. Lineage: Bacteria; Bacillati; Actinomycetota; Actinomycetes. The record is from RNAcentral.
UAGGGUUUGAUUAUGGCUCAGGACGAACGCUGGCGGCGGGCCUAAUACAUGCAAGUCGAACGCACUCGACCUUCGGGUCACAUGAGUGAGUGGCGAACGGGUGAGUAACACGUGAGGAACCUGCCCUGAAGACCGGAAUAACCCGAGGAAACUCGAGCUAAUACCGGAUAUCCCCAUCUGGUCGCAUGGCCUAAUGAGGAAAUGUUCAGGCGCUUCAGGAGGGUCUCACGGCCUAUCAGCUAGUUGGUGAGGUAACGGCUCACCAAGGCAUCGACGGGUAGCUGGUCUGAGAGGACGAUCAGCCACACUGGGACUGAGACACGGCCCAGACUCCUACGGGAGGCAGCAGUAGGGAAUCUUGCGCAAUGGGCGAAAGCCUGACGCAGCCACGCCGCGUGAGGGAUGAAGGCUCUCGGGUUGUAAACCUCUUUCAGCAGGGACGAAAAUGACGGUACCUGCAGAAGAAGCUCCGGCCAACUACGUGCCAGCCGCCGCGGUAAUUCA